Bactrocera tryoni is the source of this 524-nucleotide long non-coding RNA. RefSeq lists it as uncharacterized. The record is from RefSeq and is a predicted model, not a curated record. NCBI's taxonomy places the organism in Eukaryota, Metazoa, Arthropoda, Insecta, Diptera, Tephritidae. The transcript has 2 exons.
UAAAAAUAAACAAACAAACCCAACACAAUUCGAAAUUUUAAUUAAUUAUAUGGAAACACAUUCGGAACUUUCCAAAGGACAACUGAAAACUGUGAACGUGAAAAAUGCUGCAAAUAAUUUAUGGAAAGAGUUGGUAUGUGACCUUAAUGUUGCGGGGCCACCAUCGCGCGAUGUUUUAAAAUGGAAAAAGGUUUGGUCGGAUUAUAAAACCCAUUUGAAAGCAAAAAUGCGGCGGAACAAACUAAGUAUCUCUGGAACUGGGGUGGUGGUCCCCCAACUCAUUGCUCCUUAACACCGUUGGAGGAGCAAGUUAGUGAGCUUCUGGCAAUGGAAAUAUCCGCCAGUGGAAUAAGCGGCACCUUAGAAUUUGGUGCAGCAAAGUUAAUGCAACCAAGUGGGUCAGACAUCACAACCGACGAAUUCCGACAGAAUGAACCAACGCCAGUGGAUGAAAUGCCACAUUGUUCACGUCAAAGAGUCGCUCCGCAGAAGAAAGAGAGCCUUUUAAAUAAGCAGGUGGAUAA